GGGACUACAGGCGCCUGCAACCACGCCCGGCUAAUUUUUUGUAUUUUUAGUAGAGACGGAGUUUUUUAGUAGAGACGGGGUUUCACUGUGUUAGCCAGGACGGUCUCGAUUUCCUGACCUCGUGAUCCACCCGCCUUGGCCUCCCAAAGUGCUGGGAUUACAGGCGUGAGCCACCGCACCUGGCCUAUUAAAUCCUCUUUAAGGUGGAAUAUAGUUGACAAGCCGACAUCAGUCUCCAGAGUGAAUCCAAGGAGUGGACCCAAGACAUUUGUGUUCUGUGAUGUGGUGGCAUGUUACCUGUCAUCUCUGAUGCAUAACUCCUAAAGUGUUUGCGUCUGGGGCAGUUGUACAGAUUGCAAAGGAUAAUACUCAAGAUGUCCUCCAAGGCCAACUACUCAUCAGUUUAUUCAUGUUUCUGGGACUGGAUUCAUGAAUUCAUCCUUUCAACUAUUUCAACAAGCUUUUUCAUGUAACUAAUCUGUGGAAGGUAGAAAGGGGAAAACUGUUGGGUGCUAAAAUGACAACUGGUUCA
RNAcentral lists this long non-coding RNA (532 nucleotides) under Pan troglodytes (chimpanzee). Its description in RNAcentral is "lincRNA". The record is from RNAcentral. Lineage: Eukaryota; Metazoa; Chordata; Mammalia; Primates; Hominidae.